Arabis alpina (gray rockcress) is the source of this 105-nucleotide small nucleolar RNA. It matches the Rfam family "Plant small nucleolar RNA R71". From Rfam's summary of the family: R71 is a member of the C/D box family of snoRNAs containing the C (UGAUGA) and D (CUGA) box motifs. Multiple nearly identical copies of this snoRNA have been identified in Arabidopsis, and it is thought to function as a 2'-O-ribose methylation guide for 18S ribosomal RNA. The record is from Rfam. NCBI's taxonomy places the organism in Eukaryota, Viridiplantae, Streptophyta, Magnoliopsida, Brassicales, Brassicaceae.
ACUCCAUGGUGAGAAUGAGACCUAGUGUAACCCUUCAAUCUUUCCCAAGCUUCAGAGAGCUUCGUUUGGACCUUGCUUGAAGCUCGUGAUAUCACUCCUAAUUCU